UACGGAGGAUGCGAGCGUUAUCCGGAUUUAUUGGGUUUAAAGGGUGCGCAGGCGGCGUGUCAAGUCAGCGGUAAAAAGUCGGGGCUCAACCCCGGCCGGCCGUUGAAACUGGCGUGCUCGAGUUGGAGAGAAGUAUGCGGAAUUCGUGGUGUAGCGGUGAAAUGCAUAGAUAUCACGAAGAACCCCGAUUGCGAAGGCAGCAUACCGGCUCCACACUGACGCUGAGGCACGAAAGCGUGGGUAUCGAACAGG
This 252-nucleotide ribosomal RNA is filed under the name uncultured bacterium. Its description in RNAcentral is "partial 16S ribosomal RNA". It matches the Rfam family "Bacterial small subunit ribosomal RNA", at positions 524 to 776 of the family's 1533-position model. The record is from RNAcentral.